Molecule: transfer RNA, 91 nt
Filed under: Mahella australiensis 50-1 BON
Lineage: Bacteria; Bacillati; Bacillota; Clostridia; Mahellales; Mahellaceae
Rfam family: tRNA
About the family: Transfer RNA (tRNA) molecules are approximately 80 nucleotides in length. Their secondary structure includes four short double-helical elements and three loops (D, anti-codon, and T loops).
Source: Rfam by way of RNAcentral
GGAGAGAUGGCUGAGUGGACGAAGGCGCUCGACUGGAAAUCGAGUGUGUGGGCUAAAACCUGCACCGAGGGUUCGAAUCCCUCUCUCUCCG